AUUCUCAUUUUCCAUCAAGCAAACGAUAAGAAAUGUUAUCAGAAACAUUGGCCAUCCCUGCAGUACUCCUUGUAAUACUCAUUUUGAUUCUAUCCUCUGUCUUGUUCCAUCUUCAAGAUGAAAGAACAAAUCCACCAGGUCCUAAACCCCUCCCAAUUAUUGGUAACCUUCACAUGCUGGGGAAACUCCCACAUCGUUCCCUUCAAGCCCUUGCCAAAAAUUAUGGACCCAUAAUGUUCAUAAAGUUGGGACAAGUCCCAACCGUUGUAGUUUCCUCCCCUGAAACUGCAGAGCUAUUCCUCAAAACCCAUGACACUAUCUUUGCUAGCAGGCCAAAAACUCUAGCUUCAGAAUACAUGUCUUAUGGAAGUAAGGGCCUAGCGUUCUCUGAGUAUGGACCCUAUUGGCGUAACGUGAAAAAGUUGUGCACCACACAACUUCUGAGUGCAUCAAAGGUCGAGAUGUUCGCUCCAUUGAGGAGGGAGGAGUUAGGAGUAUUUGUGAAGUCACUCGAAAAAGCAGCAGCCUCACGUGAUGUUGUGAAUCUGAGUGAACAGGUUGGGGAGCUUAUAUCGAAUAUUGUGUGUAGAAUGAUACUUGGCCGCAGUAAGGAUGAUAGAUUCGACCUAAAGGGGCUUGCUCGUGAGGUUCUGCGUUUGACUGGAGUGUUCAAUAUUGCAGAUUAUGUUCCUUGGACAGGCUUCUUGGAUCUUCAGGGACUAAAAGGAAAAAUGAAGAAAAUGAGUAAGGCAUUUGACGAAGUGUUUGAACAAAUCAUAAAAGACCAUGAAGAUCCUUCUGCAAGCAACAAGAAUAGUGUGCACUCUGAAGAUUUUGUGGACAUACUGCUAUCACAUAUGCACCAAGCUGUGAAUCAGCAAGAGCAGAAAUAUGUCAUUGGUAGAACUAAUAUCAAGGCAAUUAUAUUAGAUAUGAUUGCAGGGUCAUUUGACACAUCAGCUGUUGCAGUUGAAUGGGCUAUGUCGGAACUCUUAAGGAACCCAAGUGAUAUGAAGAAACUUCAAGAAGAGUUAAAUAAUGUAGUGGGGGAAAAUAAACUAGUGGAGGAGUCUGACUUGUCAAAGUUGCCUUAUUUGAACAUGGUAGUAAAGGAGACCUUAAGGUUAUAUCCGGCUGGACCCUUGCUAGUGCCUCGCGAGUCCCUAGAAGAUAUAACUAUUAAUGGUUAUCACAUAAAGAAGAAGACAAGAAUUUUAGUCAAUGCAUGGGCCAUUGGACGAGACCCUAAAGUUUGGUCAGAUAAUGCUGAUAUGUUUUGUCCAGAGAGGUUUGUGAAUAGCAAUGUAGACAUUAGAGGACAUGACUUUCAACUUUUACCAUUUGGUUCUGGUCGAAGAGGAUGUCCUGGGAUUCAAUUGGGUCUGACCACAUUUGGCCUUGUUUUGGCUCAAUUAGUGCAUUGCUUCAAUUGGGAGCUUCCAUUUGGUGUGUCUCCUGAUGACUUAGAUAUGAGUGAGAUAUUUGGCCUUUCACUACCAAGAAGCAAGCCCUUGCUAGCUAUACCAACUUAUCGCCUAUUUAUCAAAGCUUAACUAAGGGUCCUUUCGAUUGAGUAGAAAAAAAUAAAAUAAAGAUCAAAUGGUUCAUUUAUCUUUAGAAAAAUUCAUUUUAGUUCUUUAUCUUUUUAAAUUGCCUGCUUAGGAUUGGUGAGCUUCUUAUUGCAGGAAUUAGGAUGGAUCUAGAUGUUUAUGUCUGAGUCAUUGUAAAAUCAAUAAUGUAUUUAUAUAUUGAUUCUACUCAGAUCUUCAAAUCAGAGGUUUUGACUUUUUAGAUCUUCUCUCUGGAGGCUUCUUCAUAUUUACUUCUCUACAUGUUUAGAGUUUCUCAUGUAUGUUGGCAUACGACCAAGUCUAUAGCUUUUACUUUUUAUCUUUUAAUAAUAUGAAAUGGAAGUGGGCUGGCCUUCGGAUAUUUACUUA
This is an RNA transcript of Glycine soja, 1940 nucleotides long. It is a transcript of the gene named cytochrome P450 CYP736A12-like, with no coding region annotated. Lineage: Eukaryota; Viridiplantae; Streptophyta; Magnoliopsida; Fabales; Fabaceae. The transcript is spliced from 3 exons. The record is from RefSeq and is a predicted model, not a curated record.